UACGGGGGGAGCAAGCGUUGUUCGGAUUUACUGGGCGUAAAGGGCGCGUAGGCGGUCAGCACAAGUCAGUUGUGAAAUCUCCGGGCUUAACUCGGAACGGUCAAGUGAUACUGUCGGGCUAGAGUGCAGAAGGGGCAACUGGAAUUCUCGGUGUAGCGGUGAAAUGCGUAGAGAUCAUGAGGAAGACCAGUGGCGAAGGCGGGUCUCUGGACAGUUCCUGACACUGAGGCACGAAGGCCAGGGGAGCAAACGGG
This 254-nucleotide ribosomal RNA is filed under the name uncultured bacterium. RNAcentral's name for it is "partial 16S ribosomal RNA". It matches the Rfam family "Bacterial small subunit ribosomal RNA", at positions 524 to 776 of the family's 1533-position model. The record is from RNAcentral.